AGAAAUGAGAUUCAAGAAAAGCUUCUAACUUUUGCCUUUAAUGGUGUAACUCCAUUUAUUUCUC
RNAcentral lists this transfer RNA (64 nucleotides) under Psychoda alternata. RNAcentral describes it as "tRNA-Ser". The record is from RNAcentral. Lineage: Eukaryota; Metazoa; Arthropoda; Insecta; Diptera; Psychodidae.